Molecule: long non-coding RNA, 1173 nt
Organism: Pezoporus flaviventris
Lineage: Eukaryota; Metazoa; Chordata; Aves; Psittaciformes; Psittacidae
Exons: 3
Source: RefSeq, a predicted model, not a curated record
GGCACAUGCUAUUACUUCCAGAUCAUUGCAGUCCCUGCACCACCAUCUGCUGGGGGUCAGAGCAGUUGUCCGGGUCGGCGUCAGUCAUGCACAAACUCAAUGCUUUCCACUGAGCUGCACCCAGCAGUACAUAUUUACAAGAACAAUAAAGCAAACCUGCUCCCUGGACACAGGCACCACAAUGCUCCGUCACAUUGGGAACAAAGGAGCACAACGAAAGUUGAUAUGCAUUACAAAGGAGAUUCUCAGGGAUCACAGCUUUGUGAUUUCAGGCCAUAACACAAAUUGAAGGGAAGAAAAACUGUCACCAAUAAGCCCAAACCUAGUGAUCAUUGUAUUUAUAAUUGACAUAGCAUCGCUAAAAGGGUGCCUCAGUUUCUGUUUCCUCUUCUCCUGUUUUCAGAGUUCUCUCUAGAAGAUAGUUAAAUGGCAAAGGCUCAGGUUAUUAAUGUUAAACACUUGGAUACACUGUUCUGUAACAGCAGCAAGAUGAUCUCUGCCACUUAUCCCAGCUUGUCUGAGCGUUAUCUCUUUUUACAGGGCUUAUGCCAUGUGCUGGAGUGAGGUGCAGAGAGCCCCGACUGACAUAAACUGAACAGUUCCUGGAAACAGGAUGAGUACAACUGUGUCACUGUGUUAUUGAAACCAAAUGAGCAGUUUUAGCAUCUCUUCAUCCCAAACAACUAAGUCUCUUUCAGAGUUCGGCAUCAGAUGCUUAGCAAAUCCAAAUUGAAGCCACACAAGAUUCUUUUUCUUUUUCUUAAUACAACCAAAUAGAUGUCCCAGGCAGUUGCAUGCAGUGACCAGGUGUUCUGUGAAAGGUACUCACUGGUUCCUCUUUCAGAAUUCCACAGGUGUGAGCCGCAUGUUCAGCUUCUCCAUCAGCUACGUGAAACAGCAGAUGAACUAAUAAAUGUGCAGCUUGCAAAAUACUAGAAUGAAAUAUCAUUUGUACCAGAGUAGUUCUUUGCACUAUGAAGAGGCAAUAUGCACUGGAGGGUGACUAUUUUCAUUUCAGAGUUGAUUGAUACUGAAGCAAACAGUGUAAUAAACCCGAGCAUUAAUGUCUGAAGAACUUGAGACAACUUUGAAAAAUGUAGUUUCUUAACAGAAGACUUGCUUGUCUGUGUUUGGACCACCAUUUAAACAGCUAAUAAAAAUUUCCUCCCUUCC